This is a long non-coding RNA of Ictidomys tridecemlineatus (thirteen-lined ground squirrel), 2809 nucleotides long. RefSeq lists it as uncharacterized. Lineage: Eukaryota; Metazoa; Chordata; Mammalia; Rodentia; Sciuridae. The record is from RefSeq and is a predicted model, not a curated record.
UGUGACCAAAAGCCGCCAGGCAAUGGCGCAUGCUCAGUUAGAGGGGCUCGGAGUUUCCGCGGGUGGAUUCCGAGUCUCCAGAUUUUAGCAGAAACUCGAAAGGAAGGUAGAUUGGAAACCCCACCCGAGCAGCCUGCUCCUGGACUGGAACCAGGGAUGGCGGGUUGAGAUCACUACAACUUGCGGUUACGACCCUGGUGACUGUGGCUGAGGCCAAGAUGGGACACAUGGAGCCCGCUUUUCCUGCUGCUGUCAGUCCUAGCCUGCCUCUCGUCUACCUUUUGUCAGCCUGUGAGAGUGUCUUCCACCAUCUUUCCACGUUUAGGAAAACUGAAGCGUUGACCUUUCUGUGCUGCGGACAUCAAGAGCGCCUCCCGUGGCAAACAGGCUCUACACUGACUAUUCUCCGUUGCCAAGAGGCAACUGCUCCUGGUUCCAAAAGGGGAAUCCAGUUUUGAACGCACUUAAGGUUACUUAAGCUGGGACCCAGAAAAACUACCCCACGAGUCUUUGGCAAACGAAGGUUCGUGCUAGGUGAGGUCUCAGGCGGUGAAGUUAAGCCACGUUCAAAGCCAGCCUUCCAGCUGGGAGCUUAGGAACGUGCUUUCCCCGGCCAGACGCCUUGGGAAGACUGCGCGAGGGAAAGCGCGUUCCUGGGACUCCCGGGACACCCCUCCGGCCGUCCCUUCCAGGCGGGGCAAUUCCUCCCAAUGCUGGUGACCUCGGAAACCUGGAUUCCGGAGCCGUGCGGACGCCACGCGCUGCGGCAGCCGAGCACGUUUUGAGUCGGGCGGGCUCCAGCCCCGCGCUCCUGGGCCGCAGUGCGCACUGCGCAGCGGGGCUCCGGGGCCAAGCAAUUUCUUUAUGUUUUCCAGGAUGGGGCGGGGACAAAGUCAAUUCUGGAAGAAUUGCUUUUGUUAGUCCUAAAGACUAAGGCUUUCAAAGUAAUUUCCCAUUUUUUUUUUUUUUUUUUGUCGAUCUCUGGUUUCUCUCUGGAGAGCAGCCUCCGCAGUGCACUCUGCAUCCACCCAAAGGGUCAUGAUGCCAUUUCUUCACUUCUACACACUGUACCUAUUUAUUGCACUCUGGAGGUCUCUUCCGUGGCGAAACUCGAUUUUAGAUAACUUAUUUUCAACUUGUGUUUAGGAAAAAAUAUUUAUAUCCUGAUGCUUUAAACUGUGCUCUGUUAUUGGGUGGAUGUGAUUUAGACGAGUGCGCUGUUAUGAAGCAGCUUUGUCUAAGUGGACAGGCAACUGUAUUUUUAAAAAUUCCAUUUGUAUAGCAGCGUUGUUUGGCGUCCUAAAUGCGAUAUCUUAAUUUUUAAUCUCCAGUUAUUAUGUAGCUUUAUCUUCUUAAGCUUCUGAUAUUGUUUAAUUUUUUAAAAAAUUCUCUUUAGCUGAACUUUAUAUGCAGCACAAAAUCAUAGUAGGGAAGCCAGUUCUAAGAGACAUCUAAGGAAUUAAUGUUUAAAUUACAGAAAGCAAAUUCCCCUCUUAGAAUUAUGGAAUGAACUUUGAGAGAAAAAAUGUCAUAGGAAAACUAAAAAAUGAGGGAGCCCUCUCUUGCUCUCCUCACUAGGCAAUUGCAGAGGUCUCCAGUAAUCACAGAAGAGGAGACACCUCACCCAACAAUCUUUUAUGCCCAAGGGUAAGGGGACAGGAGUACUGCACCUGUUGAAUAAAGAAUGCCAUCAGCUCUAACAGUUGGACAUCUAGGGCCAAUUACCUAAGGCUAAUACCCCAACAUCACAAAAGACCGUGUCAGCUUUCACAACCUGGAAAUUUGGCGGAGGGGUAGGAGUGGAGUGGGUUAGGGGCAGUAAAAGAGGGAACAAAAGGUACUGUAGAGAGAUGGUUAUUAUUUCAGUAGUGCUAGAUAGAAUCAACUGACCAGAAACAACUGAGAGUUCCUUUCUUUUCUUCAGUUGCAAGAUAGAUUCUUUAAAAACUUCUUAUUGGACAGUGGCAAAUUAUAAUAUGUUUAUGAGGUACAAAGUGAUGCCAUGUUAUAUAUAUAAAAGGUGGAAUGAUUGACUCAGGGUAAUUAAUGGAUUUCUCAUUUAUUCCUAUUGUCUAACUGAAACAUUGUAUCUUUUCACAACAGCAAAUUAUAUUCUUUCAGAAGAUUUCAGUCUUACUUCCACUUCCCAAAUUCAAUGAAACAAACAAUGGAACCAAGAAUAACUUUUUAGGUGUACACAACUCUAUAUAAUAUUCCUCUCCUGCUUUAAUUGUGGCAAGAACAAGUUGAAAACUGAGUAGGAUGGUGGGAGUGUGAAAUGCCAGAAUAGAACAGGUCUAAUCUUAUGGCCCUCUGAGCUCAUUGUAAUAUUAUUUAUUUGAAAUAUUUGUGUAUAACAUAUAUAUGAGCCAAGAACGCUGGAAUAUAAGGCAUGGGAGUAUAUAGAAAAUUGAAAGAAAAGUAAGUUUUUGAAAGUCAUUGUUGCAGGAAAUUAAUAAAUGGAUUUAUAUUUGUUUAAAUUCAUAAAUAAUAGUUAUGCUAAUUUUAUUGUAUGUAUAAAGUGACUUUAUUUUAAAAUAUAAGGGUAUUAAUCUUUAUAGAGGACAGGUAUUAUGUAAGACCCUUAUAUUUAUCCUGACUUUUUAUUCUAUUUUAAAAUAUACAGAUACGCCAACAAAAUUAAUUCCCUAAAGUCAAAUAAGAAGUUAUUUCUUAGAAUAAAAUCCUACCAUUGUUUUUCUGACAUAUUUCAUUGUAUGCAUUUUGUAUUCCUUCUACUGUGUUUUAUUAAAAUAAGUAAAAAAAAAAAAUGCAAGACCAUGAAGCAGUGAUUCCUAUAGAGUCAGUG